Molecule: ribosomal RNA, 254 nt
Filed under: uncultured bacterium
Lineage: Bacteria
Description: partial 16S ribosomal RNA
Rfam family: Bacterial small subunit ribosomal RNA
Source: RNAcentral
UACGUAGGGUGCGAGCGUUGUCCGGAAUUAUUGGGCGUAAAGGGCUCGUAGGCGGUUUGUCGCGUCGGGAGUGAAAUCCACUGGCUUAACUGGUGGCUUGCUUUCGAUACGGGCAGACUGGAGGUAUGCAGGGGAGAACAGAAUUCCUGGUGUAGCGGUGAAAUGCGCAGAUAUCAGGAGGAACACCGGUGGCGAAGGCGGUUCUCUGGGCAUGUCCUGACGCUGAGGAGCGAAAGCGUGGGGGAGCGAACAGG